UACGUAGGGCGCAAGCGUUGUCCGGAAUUAUUGGGCGUAAAGAGCUCGUAGGCGGCUUGUCACGUCAGGUGUGAAAGCCCGGGGCUUAACCCCGGGUCUGCAUUCGAUACGGGCUGGCUAGAGUGUGGUAGGGGAGAUCGGAAUUCCUGGUGUAGCGGUGAAAUGCGCAGAUAUCAGGAGGAACACCGGUGGCGAAGGCGGAUCUCUGGGCCAUUACUGACGCUGAGGAGCGAAAGCGUGGGGAGCGAACAGG
Molecule: ribosomal RNA, 253 nt
Filed under: uncultured bacterium
Lineage: Bacteria
Description: partial 16S ribosomal RNA
Rfam family: Bacterial small subunit ribosomal RNA
Source: RNAcentral